GAUGAAGAACGUAGCGAAAUGCGAUACGUAGUGUGAAUUGCAGAAUUCAGUGAAUCAUCGAAUCUUUGAACGCACAUUGCACCUCUCGGUAUUCCGGGAGGUAUGCCUGUUCGAGCGUCAUUUGUACCCUCAAGCUCUGCUUGGUGUUGGGUGUUUGUUCCGCCUCUGUGUGUGAACUCGCCUCAAAACAAUUGGCAGCCGGCGUACUUGUUUCGGAGCGCAGCACAUUUUGCGAUCCAGAUCAACGUACAGCGGCAUCCAAGAAGCCUUAUUUAACGCUCUUGACCUCGGAUCAAGUAGGGAUACCCGCUGAACUUAAGCAUAUCAAUAAGCGGAGGA
Molecule: unclassified non-coding RNA, 339 nt
Filed under: soil metagenome
Description: partial contains 5.8S ribosomal RNA, internal transcribed spacer 2, and large subunit ribosomal RNA
Rfam family: 5.8S ribosomal RNA (bases 1-120)
Source: RNAcentral